GUUUACUCUGGAUAAGGUAAAGAACUUA
This 28-nucleotide non-coding RNA is filed under the name Cricetulus griseus (Chinese hamster). The record is from RNAcentral. Lineage: Eukaryota; Metazoa; Chordata; Mammalia; Rodentia; Cricetidae.